RNAcentral lists this transfer RNA (65 nucleotides) under Phallichthys amates. RNAcentral's name for it is "tRNA-Cys". The record is from RNAcentral. Lineage: Eukaryota; Metazoa; Chordata; Actinopteri; Cyprinodontiformes; Poeciliidae.
AGUCUCGGGGUGUUAUCACAUCAGAUUGCAAAUCUGAAGAGGCAGGCGCGUACCUGCCGGGGCUU